GCGAGCUAAGACUUGACUUGCAGGCUGGCGUAUUGGAAUAUCCUUAAAUAACUCCAUAUUACUUCCUCCUUCACUUGUCAUCUUCCCUGUAAUUGUAAAGACUGCUCUUCGGAGUUACUCUUUUUAUUGUAGUGAAACGAUAUCGUAGUCUUCUCUUGCUAGCAAAGCUUCAUUUUUUAUUCUCCUAAAACAGAAGAAAGCAGUAAAAGCAAUUUCUUCUCUUCGCUCGCCGAUGGCAAUUGACCCAAUUCUCUUAUUGUAAUCACUGUGUGUGUAAUUUCUUGUUGAUUUGUAGGCGGGGAUUAAUGGGCUGCACGCAAUCUAACAUCGAGGAUGAAGAAACUGUAAAUCGAUGCAGGGAGCGGAAGCAGUAUAUGGAGCGGGCCGUAGCGGCCCGCAACAAGUUUGCGGCUGCCCACUCGUCCUACGCGAUGUCCUUGAAGAACAUCGGUGCCGCCCUUAGUGACUUUGCUCAUGGAGAAGUUGUAUAUCCUGCCGGCGGCAGUGGCAGUGGAGGUGGAAUUGGUACUGAUGCCACCAUUCAGCCACCAAUUCUGCCUCAUGAUAGCAUUUCUUCUUUCCCUCCUCCCUUGCCUCCGUUCAAUCCGACUCCUUCACCACUACAGCGGGCGUCUACUGUUCCUGAAUUUCGAACUGAACUAAAGCGUACGAACUCGAUAACUGAGGAGGAGAGCGAAGAGGACAUUGAAAAUGAGAGUACUCAUAAUUUGAAGCAUCGCAGCAGUAAGAGUAGCGCACGGGGUAGUAUGGGAAGGAGAGAUGGACUUUCACAUAAGGAGGUUACUGAGGAAGAGGUCUUGCAGAAGCCACCUCCGCCAAUGCUGCCAAAUGAACCUGAUCACAAGCAUCUAGCCCGUCCUCCUCCUCCUCCUCCUCCUCCUCCUUCUGCUAUGAAUAACGACAAUUCUUGGGAUUAUUUCUUGGAGCCGGAUAUGCAAAGGUCGACACUGGCUGAUGUUGAGGAUGAUCACUACCAGGGACAGGAAAUUGAGCGAAAAAUGCGAGAAGAAAGGGCUAAGAAAAGUGAAAUGGAUGGUGAAAUUGAUGGAGGGAGGAGGGUUCAGAAGGUGGAGGUGGCCGCUGAAGUGGUGGAAGGCACAGUGAAUCUUUCAAAACAGCCUCCUCCGACUCAAAAAGUAGUGGCAACAAAGCUGGCCAAGAGAGUGAAAAUGGGGGCUCCAGCAGAAGGGAUAAUGAAAGGUGGACCGAGUAAUACAAACUUAUUGCAAAUAUUUGUGGAUUUUGAUGAUUGUUUUCUCAAGGCUUGCGAGAGUGCUCAUGAUGUAUCUAGGUUGCUCGAGGCCACCCGCUUGCAUUAUCACUCAAAUUUUGCAGAUAAAAGAGGUAUAAUAUAUAUAGUUGGUGUUUAAUGUGGCUAGAAUCGCAUAGUAAUGGCCUCGGAAUAAACUGAUAACAAUAAUGCUUAUUCAGUAUGAAUAUUGAAUAGUUUACAUACCAAAUUAAUAUACUUUAUCAAGGGAAGUUCUUUCACCUUAAUCAUGGUAGUUUACCGCAAAUGUUCAAUAUGAUCAUAAUUUUAGUUUGGAUUGGAAAGAGUGUCAGUCUAACUGUCCUGUCAGUGGUUGAAUGAUCCUUUCACUAUUUGAUGAUUAUAUAAAAGCUUACGUGAAAAAUAACAAAUGGCUUUGCAAAGAAAGAUAAAAAGAAAUUGCAUCUGCAUUAAGUGUAGUCGCGUAGUCAUUGAAACUAUAAGAAAAAUAGCUUUUAUUAUAUUUUGGCUUGGAGUCGGAACAAGAGUUAGUCCAAUAGUUCAGAUGAGCCAUGAAGUAUUCAUUUGAUGUAUAAAUACUACAGUCUUUUCUUUAUAGGGCACAUUGAUCAUUCUACUAGGGUCAUGCGCGUCAUUACAUGGAAUAGGUCCUUCAAAGGUUUACCCGACUUAGAUGAUGGAGUUGACGACUCUGAUUCUGACGAGCACGAGACUCAUGCAACAGUAUUGGACAAGAUGCUGGCAUGGGAGAAGAAGCUUUAUGAUGAAGUUAAAGUAUGCACAUUAAUAUUUAUGUUCAACUUGUCAUAUAUAUUCGGUGGAUCUUUAGACUUUGUUUCUUUAGUAAUCAUCUUGUUUAAUUUUCAUCAAAAAAGUUAUACUUAAAAAUGGAAGAGUUUCUAAAUUUCAUCUUAUUCUCAAUAAGGUGGUUGAAUUCGAAAAUUUUUCUUACAUUUUGUUGUUAAUUUUGAAUAUUGUGAACAGUUUGUUUAACAGCUUCAAUUUUUAUGUAAUAUUCUACCAAGCAUCAAAAUCUAAAUUUGGUGCUUUCAUUGAAGUUUUUGCCAUUGAUUGGCUUUUAGAUACUGGUAUCCUAGGUUCAUUGCUUCAAACCUCAAUCAGAAACUCCAGUGAGGGCAUGUACAACUGGAAACCAGCAACGUGUGACAGUGUUGAAUUUGACACCAUGUCAAAGAAAUUAAGCGUGUGACUGAUGAGUUAGCUCUGAUAUCAAAUUGACACAGAACUUUCUCAGAAUGAGAAUUAGAGAUGAUAUAAUAAAAGAAGAAUUUAGGAGGAAGAAAUCUAUAUUUAAUAUCAAUAAUUACUAUAGUAUGAAUAUAAAUGAAAUCCCAGGUUCCUUUACAUAGGAUAAAGAACUUAAAUCUCAAAGAUAAUUGUAUAACUUUCAUGGUUGGGGUAUAGCCAACUCCUGCUGGCUUGCUGGGUCUAAGUGGACAUCCCACUCAGAUUUAGAUGGUGUUUUAAUUAAAUGAAAACUUAAAUCUUAAAAAACCUCUAAUAAUCAACAACCUUUUCUUGUAAAAUUCUAGUUAAUCAAAACUACUGAAAUGUAAUGUAAAUCAAAAUCUAAAGAGGGAGGUAUAUAUGUUCAUAUCCAGUCAAAAUAUUAUACUGAAGGGAUUAAGAUGUAAAGUGAAAACCAAUCAAAAUUUUGUAGAGGAUAUUUGUCGUCAUAAAAGGAGGAGACAAGCCAAGUAUACAUUUAGUCAGUCCUACGCUUUCAAGAAAUGGUAUAGAUUUCCCUUGUAAUAAAAUUAGAUUUUAGCCUAUGAUUCUUGAAUUUGACAUGGUAUCUCCUAAUUUUGUUGUUGCAAAAAAAUGUCGGUUUUGGACAUUCAUUGCUGCUACCGGAAUGAGAGAGCAGUCCCAAUCAAUUUUCUUUCUUUUUUUCUUGGUAUUCAAUUGAUUAGUGUUAAAACAAGAUUCUUCAUUAUAGUUUUGUAUCUUGACUGCUUGAUUCAUCUCUGUGGCCUUCACUGUCUACCCUUAUAUAUGUAUCCUGAAUUCCUGAUGUGGCCCAUAUUUGAUGAACACAUACCAGAAAUAUCCUGCUGUAUCUAGUGAUCAAUAUUUAUUUAUUAGUAAUGGCGAAGAUGAUAAAUUUUUUGAAUCCCACAAAAUAUUCUCUGUUUCUUUGCCACUUAAUGCCGUGUAAUGUUUGUCUCUGAAUCUCUCUCUCCAUUAAGAAUAGUUUGUGGUUUGUCUUUGAUGCUACAGGCAGGUGAGCAAAUGAAACUUGAAUAUCAGAAAAAGGUAGCUUCGUUGAAUAAGUUGAAGAAACAUGGCUCAAACACAGGCGCCUUAGAAAGGAUGAAAGCAGCAGUUAGUCAUCUGCAUACCAGAUACAUUGUUGACAUGCAAUCCAUGGACUCCACCGUUUCAGAAAUUAAUAGUUUGUGCAAUGAUCACCUGUAUCCGAAACUUGUUACCCUUGUUGAUGCGUAAGUUCCUACGCUGCUAUGAGAAAUACUGCCUAUUGUCUAGCCGUUGUUGAUGAUCUGUAGCUUGCUUCCAUUAGCAUUUGUUAUAAGCAAAAUAAUUAGUGUGG
RNAcentral lists this long non-coding RNA (3824 nucleotides) under Olea europaea subsp. europaea. The record is from RNAcentral. Lineage: Eukaryota; Viridiplantae; Streptophyta; Magnoliopsida; Lamiales; Oleaceae.